Molecule: long non-coding RNA, 1154 nt
Organism: Lolium rigidum
Lineage: Eukaryota; Viridiplantae; Streptophyta; Magnoliopsida; Poales; Poaceae
Exons: 3
Source: RefSeq, a predicted model, not a curated record
CUCCCUCUCGGAAGAGAUCGCCCGCGGCCGGCUGCGGCGUCGCACCGGAGAAAGAUCCAGCCGCUGACGAGCCCUCUUCGCCGUCCGUCGCCUGCCGCUGAACUGGGCUGGUUUUCGGGUCUGCAGAAUGACAAGAUGGAGCUUCUGAAACCAGGAUCGCUUCAGCAUCUUGGAGAAAAAUAGAAAAUAUGCUUGAUUUCUUACUGCAUGCUGCUUCAUCACCAAAAUUUAUGAAAGAUGCGCAACAGGCAAAGCAAGAGAGCACAGAAGCGAACAAAGCUAUUUUCUUUGAUGUUCUGGUAUAUAUAAUGAUUAAAUCAUCUUUGUUUGCUGUCUUUCAAAUAUUAUGGCUGUACCAUGCAUUAUGUUUUUCUCAUCAAGCUAAGUAAGCACACAUGUAGCUUCCACAUUUUGACAUUUUCCUAAGGAAAAUAGAUCUUUACACUUGGUCUGCAUAUUCUCCAUCUAUUGCUAUAACUUCUCCAAUCAUGUGUCUGUUCUCCUGAUGUUGGAGGAGGACAAGAAUAUUUGCUCUUUGUUUGGUGUAGCAAGUCAACGUCCUCCACUUCCUCCUCUAGGAAAGGGUCCUGGCUCCGCCAAGCUCGGCCACGCCGCCACCAGCGGCACCGCAUCUCAGGAAAGGGUCAAGUCGAGCUCUCCCGUGCCGCCAACAACAAAAACAGGUUUAUGUGCGCCCUCGGCGACAAUCAUACGGUCACCCUCUGCCGCUGCGUUGGAACCAAACCCCGACUGUCCACAACCGCCUAGUCCAUCUACGUUGGUGGCAGAGGCGGUACUAGAGGUGUUCUCCAGUCCAUCUACUCCAUGGCUAACUGUCCUCCCUGCCACCAGGGCGAAAACCACUCGGGUCUGCGAGCACGAAGAACCCCAAUGAGAAUACAUUGAAGGACCUUGGAACUGGAGGUUGUUCAACGUAUUUUGUUCUAUUCUUGACCAGUAGAAAAACUAAAGUAGCACAACUACACUUAGUUCUAAGUUUUGUUGUACAAAUUGACUCUUUUUAGGAUGACCAAAUUUCUCCCGUGUUUAUUGUUAUACAUAUUGAUUGUUGAUACUCUCGGUCAGGGAUCUUGCAAUUUUUGUUCAUUGGCAUAUUUAUCAAGUUAGCUGGCUCCCUCUCAGGGAAGUUAAAA